Long non-coding RNA from Monodelphis domestica (gray short-tailed opossum), 5159 nucleotides. RefSeq lists it as uncharacterized. NCBI's taxonomy places the organism in Eukaryota, Metazoa, Chordata, Mammalia, Didelphimorphia, Didelphidae. The record is from RefSeq and is a predicted model, not a curated record.
CCGUGGUGGGAGGGAGGUAUCUCUGACGCACACAUUGCCAAGUAUUUUCCGCUGCAGAACUGAGAGGCCAAACCCAAUCUGAUCAGGUUGCUACUUCUGUCCUGCAUAGAAAUGACAUUAAUUGAAAAAGCCUACGUGAUGUACUGACAUUGCUCAGAGUCCAGAUCAACCCAUUCCUUUCUCUAGACCCUGGCUCUAUCCAACCCUGGCUUCACCUAAGCUAAUACUGAGAGGAGGAAGAUUAAAUACAUCUACAAUCAGGAAACUGGGACUGUUGCCAUUAAGUCUGUUUCGCAGUUGGCAGGAGAUGGACAAAGGAGGACUCUGAUCUGGAGGAUAACUCUUGUUGUCAUAUAUUUCAGUCAGCUUCUGAACAAGCACUGGACACCCUACCUUAUCAAUUUCUGCUGAGAUGUAAAAAGCUCCUGGUGCUUUGCCACUCAUGCCUAAUGGCAUCCCAUAAAUCUUCUUUUGGGAGAAAGUUGAGCUACCGAGGAAUUGACAACCUGAGGCAUAUAGUUAAUGGCUUCAGUACUGGUUGAUGACGGUCUGUUGAGAACACUAUGGAAAUGUUCAUCUCUCCAGGAUCAUGCCAAACCAAGACAGGUAGAAAGAAGAUGGGUUUUCUUCAAAGAUGAUUGUGCACUCAAUUAAACCUCCGAGACUGAAAUGCUACAGAAUAUGGAUCAAUUCUCUGUCAACUGUGCUAAUUUCAACUUGACAAGUAACACCAAGAAAAAAGGGUUCUCCACCAGCCAGCACCAUGUUAUUCAUAGGUUGAACCACUGGUUAUCGCAAUUGGAGAAACUUUGAAUGCUAUUCAUUUACCUUGACAGUGUACUUUCCAGGGAUGUUCACAUAGAUAAUGAGGUUGAUGCAUGCAUUGCCAGAACUAACAGCAUUUGGCAGGCUUCAAAAGACAUUGGGAGAGAAGACAUAUUAGGCUGCAUGCCAAACUGAAAGUCUUUCUUGUACUGACUUGACUGUUUUAUGCCUUUGAAACCUGGACAUUCUACCAGUGCCAUACCAGCAAACUUUAAGUGGUUGUUACAAAAUAAAAUGUGGACAAAGGCAUAAAACUUUUCUUCCCUUUUUCAAUUGUUAGAGCUAGGAGGAAUCAGUCAUGCAAGCUUAUUUUAUAUAAUUUCUUACUUUUACAAAACUUCUACAUCUAUUAUUUCCUUUACUACAUCCUACUAUCUCUAGGAAAAAUAGUACCAAAUCUAACCUUUUAAAUAAGAGUCUAAAAUUUUUUUAAGAAGGUUACUUUGAGCCAAGUUUUUUGCUACGUAGGUAUGUUUUAAAUUCAUUCCAGAGAAACUUUAUUCCAACUUCAUUGGUUUUUCAUCUUAUUUGAACAAAGUAAUAAAAUGUAAUACAGAGUCAACGAAUUAUAAUGGAUAGGUUUGACAGUCAAGGAGGCUCAGGUUUAAGUUUAUUCUAAAGCAUUGGUAAAAAUAUUUAAUUUCUCAUUGGCCCUUUGCCACUAAGUAACAGAAAUAUUUCAUAUCUUUUUUGGGAGAUAGUUUCAUCACUAGGAAUUUCCUAUAUUAGUAAACUCAGGAAUAAGCCUUCCCUCCCAACUGACCCCCUCAGCCCUCAAAAAAGGCUAUUAGAAAAUAGUCUUUUGUGUGUAUGAAACUGUUUCUAUCCAGAGUUCCCACUAAAAUCCUCAUCUUGUCAAAGUGAUUCUGAAAAUCUUUAAUACUCAACUUGAGCCUCCACUCUCCUCACCUAAAACUGAGAAUAAAAAAUGAAAAGACCAAGGAUUGAGACUUUUUUUCUUGAGGCCAUAUGACCUCAGAGUAGAGAAAUCUGGAAGGCUUUCCCCACCUCCCCCUCAAUAGCAUAGUCUUUCACUGGAAAUUAUGGGCAAAAGAAUCAGCAAAUGAAGCUUUAAAAGAUCAGCCAAAGCUGAUUCAGGCCUUUUCAAGGAUAUGACAGUUCUGGCUACACAACCAGUUGGAAAAAGGCUCUUUCCUGUGAUGUUGUUAGCCAAUUACAUAUUGUUCCCUUGUGUUUCACAAUCAAGAGUCUUCCUAAAAACAAAAUCAUCCUUCUCAUGGAGAGGUUACAUCAGUCAAACAAGCUGCUGGAGUCCCUGCCUUGAACCAACAUUUGUAGGUGGGAAAUUACUCCCAAAGUUUCAUAUAUUGGAUGAUAGAAAGCAGAGAAUAUCCACUCCCCCCCCCCCCCACCUUUGGCAAAUCCUCCAUUACACUGGAGUCUGGAUCUUGCAGGGGUUUAGCAGUUCUCUCAAACUAUAUCAGGGGAAAACCUAGCCAAUUGGUGGGCAUCAAUUUUUGGCUCAGUCCAACUUCCAUGAAAUUCUUGAUAUUUAAACAUUUUAAAAAUUACAGAAUUUUCAAGCUGAAAAAGAUCACCCACUUAUUCCCUCAAAAAGCAAUUUCACAAGAUGUAAGUUGAAAAGAGUAUAUUUUUUUAAAUCUAUCAUAUAACUUUCAUGGACAACUACCAGACAGGGGCAGUAUGCUGUAGCAUGCCCUGUUCUGUACACUAGAUAAAGUUCAGUUGUGGGGAGUCUGAUAUCUAAUGAGAGAAGAUGAGACUCCUGGUCUCGAAUUCUCAUAUUCAUUACCAUCCUGGGUAAGUCACUUAACCCCCAUUGUCUAGCCCUUACUACUCUCCUGCCUUGGAACCAAAACAUAGUAUUGAUUCCAAGAUGGAAGAUAAGGGUUUUAAGAAAGAAAGAAAGUCAGCUUUCAAAUCCUACCUCAGAUAUUUUCUAGCUGCGUAACCCUAAAUUAAUUGUUUAACUUUGCUCUAACUUAGUUUACCCCUCUCAGAGGGGUGCAUUAAGGAUCAAAUGAGCUAACAUUUAUUUAAGUGCUUUGCAAACCUUAAAGUAUCAUGUUAAUUCUAACUAUUAUUAUUUUUAUUAUCACUAAACACAAAAUGCAAAAAUAAAUUUAAUAAAAUAAAACAAAAAUACCAUGUAGUUCAGUAACAUAUUACUACAAUUACAAUGUAAUAAUUCAGGUUAAUACUUAGACCUCAUUAUAACAUAAAGCAGUUUUCAGGACUUACUAAAAAGGCAUUUUACACUUCACCUCUACCCUAACCAAACAACUCCCUAUAUUUGUUUGGUAAAAUGGCUAAUCAUGGGCUAAUACUUUUUUUAGUGGUCUUCUUACCCAGGAACUUUGCACUUCUUGAACUUAAGAUUUCCUCCAAACCUGACUUAGUCACUUGGAUGAUCAUGUUCAGAGAAACAGAACCCAACUUCAACAUAAAAUUCAAAAUCAAGAAAAAGAGUGGAAAAAUGAGCAAACAAGGAGACUCUUUUUUUUUAUUUUAUUUGGUCAAUUUCAAACAUUAUUCCUUGGUUACAAAAAUCAUAUUCUAUUCCUCCCUCUCCCUCCCCCCCCUUCCCAUAGCCAAUGCGCAAGUCCACUGGGUAUUACAUGUAUGAAACAAGGAGACUCUUAAAAAAAUGUGAAAGAAGAUUGUUACAAAUUUCAAACUAUAUUACAAAGUUAUAAAUCAUCAAAACAAUCUGGUAAAGAAGUAGAGUGGUGGAUUAGUAGACUAGUAAUACACAGUAGUAAAUUAUUAUAGUAAUCUAUUGUUUGAUAAUCCCAAAGAUCCAAGGUUUUGGUGCAAGAACUCACCAUUUGACAAAAAUUUCUGGGAAAACUGGAAAGCAAUUUGGCCGAAACUAGUUAUAGACCAACAUCUCACACUAUGAAACAAAAUAAGCUCAAAAUGGAUAAAUGAUUUGGACAUAAAGGAUGAUAUGAAUAAAUUAGGGUGAUACCACAAACAAAUUAAGGCAACAUGGAAAAACUUACUUCUCAGAUUUAUUAUGUAUUAUGACCAAAUAUGAGAAAGAACAUUACAAAAAAUGAAAUGGAUAAUUUUGAUUAUGUCAAAUUAAAAAGCUUUUACACAUACAAAACUAAUGCAACCAAAAUUAGAAGGAAAACAGGAGAAGGAAAAAAUUUUAUAGCAAGUUUUUCUGAUAAAGGACUCAUUUAUCAAAUAUAUAUGAAACUGACUCAAAGUUAUAAAAAUAAAAGCCAUUUCCCAAUUGAUAAAUGGUUAAAGGCUAUGAACAGGCAAUUUUCAUUUAGAAUAUUUUUCCAUGGUUAUAUGAUUCAUGAUUAUUUUCCUACUCCUCUUCCUUUCCCACUUCCUGAAAUUGACAAGCAUUGGGUUAUACAUGUAUCAUUGUUCAAAACCUAUUUCCAUGUUAUUCAUAUUGUAACAGUUGAAUUAGUUUCUCUACUAAAAGUAUUAUAUUUUUAGAGGUUUAUUAACAAUUAUUAGAAAUCAAGGAUACAAAAUAAUAAACCAUGUGCUCAUGGCUGAUUUAGCCAAAUUCAGAACCACCGCGGUUAGUCUACUCACUACAUCCUUGCAACCUCCCAGUACAGGAAGAGAGAGGAAGUAGGUGUUACAGCCAGUUUAAAUACAAAUUCUGUUCUCUCCCAGGUGGGAACUCAGGUGAGAUUAUAGGGAAUUCUGGGAAGUACCAAGGGCUUCUGGGAUUGAAGUCUGGAGUUCAAAUCUCCAUUUUUACAUCCCCUCAUUUGAUCGUUAUUGGGAAACCAGUUUCCCCAAAAGGAUCAUGAAAACAUAAUCAACUUAAAGAUUACAAUAAUUUGAGGAUAAGAGGGAAAAAAAACAAAACCAAUAAUUGCUAGACGCAUUGACAAAAACCAGUUGGGGGCAGUCCCCUUUGGCAUGAAAGUAUACAUAGAAAUAAAUGUUCAAUCAAUCAUACCCAGAGUUCAUUCUUGAUCUUCUCGUGCAGUUUGUGGUCUGAAGGCAUCUUCAUGGUGUCUUCUCCAAAUAGUUCAGUUUCUGGAUUCAGAGAGGUAGCAUUUUUCUUAACCUAAAAUUCUUCUCAAAGGGAAUUUAAACUUUGCAAUUUAAAAUAAUAAUAUUUUUAUAAUAUUUGCAAUAGAGUGAUCUUUUUAACACCAAAACCUUAAUCAUAUCCCCAUCAAAGUAAGAGACUGAUCAUAUGCUUUUCUUCUGCAUUUCUACUCCCAUAUUCUUUCUCUGGAUGUAGAUAGCGGUUUUUUUUUUUUAAUAAGUUCCUCUGGAUUGUCCUGAAUCUCUGUACUGCUGCUAGUAGAAAAGUCUAUUAUAUUUUAUUGUUCCACAAUAUAUUAGUCUCUGUGUACAAUGUU